Non-coding RNA from Paramuricea clavata, 294 nucleotides. Lineage: Eukaryota; Metazoa; Cnidaria; Anthozoa; Malacalcyonacea; Plexauridae. The record is from the annotation of a GenBank genome assembly.
GCAAGCUUGCUAACCUAGGUUUAAUUAUUUAGGUCAUGAUUUAGCUAAUGAAGCUGUACCAGAUAAUUUGAAAACGUCUUGCAGUAUUUUGAAAGGAGAGAUUGCCUUCAUGAAACAACUACAGAAAUGGUUGGGAGAGAAGUGUAAAUGGAAUCUUUGUUACAGAGCUUCCAGAGAUGGUUGGAGUGCCAAAGAUUUUCACAAACAUUGUGACAAUAAAGGACCGACAGUGGUUUUAGUGAAAGCCAAUAAUUGUAUUUUUGGUGGAUAUGCUGACCAACACUGGGAAUCAGG